This is a long non-coding RNA of Bufo bufo (common toad), 190 nucleotides long. RefSeq lists it as uncharacterized. NCBI's taxonomy places the organism in Eukaryota, Metazoa, Chordata, Amphibia, Anura, Bufonidae. The record is from RefSeq and is a predicted model, not a curated record. The transcript is spliced from 3 exons.
AAGACAUCAUUAAAGAGCUCCUCCAGAGAGAUCCUGCCAAGCGCUUAGGAGUCCAUGGUAACAUCAGAGGCCAUCAUUUCUUCCAGCAUAUUGACUGGGUCUCUGUGGAAGCCCUUGAGAUGCCACCACCACACAUCCCUGUACCAUCUAUACCUCAACGCUGUCCCAAACCAUUCAACCUGGGCAAAAU